Long non-coding RNA from Pogona vitticeps (central bearded dragon), 1551 nucleotides. The record is from Ensembl. Lineage: Eukaryota; Metazoa; Chordata; Lepidosauria; Squamata; Agamidae.
AAGCCCAGUAGGGGAUUCGAACUCCCAACUUCUCAGAGGCUCUUCAGCCAGAGACCUCUCCCAUCCCCUACCCGCGCCCCCGUCCCCCCCAGGGGCUCGAUCCCGCUCACCUGUCAGGAAUGCUGCCUGCCGGGAACCUUUCCAUCCAGGAGGACCCCGAACGGAGCUCGGAGCCCCUUCCUGCCUCCCCAUCGCAGGGCUUCUUCGCGAAGCCGGGAGGCGGGCGGGCGGGAGCGGGAGCGGGAGCAGGGGAAGCUCCGCAGGACGCCUGGAUCCCUCGCGCCUCGAAAGAGAGGCGACCGCGAUGCCUGCGGGAGCCACCCGGGCCGAGCAGGGUGGAGCCUUGGCAGCAUCGAGGGAGUCGCCCGAGGCACACCUCGCCCCCCUUCCCUUCCCUUCCCUCUCGUUGCCCCAACAGGGCGCUGCCAGGAAGGGGAGGGAGCGAUCCAGACUUUAAAAGGACGCGUCUUUCUCAUCUGCUGGAUAUUGUCGAUAGCAGAAGCAGGAUGAUGUCUCCCGAUUAUCCCAGUGCCUGCUUUAAGGCUUUGUAGGUAAGGUCUUAGUGGGACUCCGAGCAAUCCACCCCUUCCUACUUUUCAGAUCUCCUUGGAGCAAGCUGCUCAUCUGGAAUGAUCCUGAUGUUGUGGAACAUCUGGCCAGCUUUGUGCUUCUGCUCCUGUUCCAAACACGACACCUUCCUGCCUCUGGAAUGUGCUGUUCAGCCUCUUCCUUACACCUUGGAUUCUGCUUUAUGACAUCCUUCCAUUACCUGGCAGCUUAUAUCCAAGAGGAUGGGGUUGGCUGGUAGAAGGGGCGGGGGCCAAGGAUAGGCACUUGAAAGGCAAACUCACAUGGGCCUCGUACCGGGAGUAGUGGUAGAGGCAACAAGGCAGCUUGUCUUGCUGGGAAGAAAGGUACCACCUUUGAGAUGAGAUGAGAUGAGGAGGUGGCACGAUGGUUUCUAUCACUGAGAGGGAGAGGAAGACGGGAGCCUUGUAUGGACCUAGCUCAUCACAUGGCCCUUCCCGGAUGUGGCAAGUCCUGGCAGCUGCUGCUCCUCCUAGUAGGUGAGAGAACAAGGUCCUCUGUUGCAGUGGUCCCCAACCAUGGGUCUCUCCAGAUAUUCUUGGACUACAACUCCCAGAAGCCUUCACCACCACCUCUGCUGGCCAGGAUUUCUGGGAGUUGAAGUCCAAGAACAUCUGGAGGCCCAAGGUUGGGGAACCACUGCUCUGUUGGGUUGGGUGAUGGAGAGAGAGAGAGAGGAAGAUCCAGGCUGGUUGAGAGCUCUCUCUUCAAAUGCACUAAUGCAAGCCGGUCAUUGAAUGUCAGAAGUGAGGGCAGGAAAGCAACCUUCAACACUCCUCCUGAGAAGACCUAUGCUCCUUAACAUAAAGAGCACUGAGUGGAGGUUGGUUCAUGCAAAUAGGAGUUGCUCAGCCAACCCAGGUUCAGCAGAAGGUAGAGGGUCAAAGAAACGAUGCUCCGCAGGAAGAUCUCUCUGUUUAUUCUCCUGCCUCUGUCCCAGUUCCUGGCUGUGGCCACCAUUGA